Molecule: ribosomal RNA, 490 nt
Filed under: uncultured bacterium
Lineage: Bacteria
Description: bacterial SSU rRNA
Rfam family: Bacterial small subunit ribosomal RNA
Source: RNAcentral
AGCGAACGUUAGCGGCGGGCCUAACACAUGCAAGUCGAACGAGAAAACCUUCGGGUGAGUACAGUGGCGCACGGGUGAGGAACGCGUAGGUAAUCUACCCUCUGGCGGGGGACAACACUCCGAAAGGAAUGCUAAUACCGCAUAAGACCACGCUUACUAAGGUGAGAGUGGUAAAAGGCGCCUCAAAGCGCCACCAGAGGAUGAGCCUGCGUCCCAUCAGUUUGUUGGUAAGGUAACGGCUUACCAAGGCGAAGACGGGUAGCUGGUCUGAGAGGAUGAUCAGCCACACUGGUACUGGAACACGGACCAGACUCCUACGGGAGGCAGCAGUGAGGAAUAUUGGGCAAUGGGCGAAAGCCUGACCCAGCCACGCCGCGUGUGUGAUGAAGGCCUUCGGGUCGUAAAGCACUGUGGGGAGGGACGAACCUACGCAGGAGGAAAUGCCUGCGUACUGACGGUACCUCCUUAGCAAGCACCGGCUAACUCUGUG